This 1579-nucleotide long non-coding RNA is filed under the name Setaria viridis. RNAcentral describes it as "long non-coding RNA (SVIR_LNC007275)". The record is from RNAcentral. Lineage: Eukaryota; Viridiplantae; Streptophyta; Magnoliopsida; Poales; Poaceae.
UGAAAUAAUUUUUCUUAAAGUUGUAUAUGCAAAACUUACUAACUUAACAUUAUGGUUUACAUGCACCAACCAAUUAACAAAAUCCCCUUGAGAAUGAAGGUAGACGGCAUAGUCGCAUAAAGAAUACAUAGGAGAGAUUGUAGAGCAAGGCUUCAGUAGAUGGUUGUAGGGAUCAGGGGAGGGGGGUUGAAUUAGGACCAUCUAAAUUAAUGUGCUAAGUUUAUCCAAUGUCAUCCUAGCAACACACACAAGAAUUCUAGGAAACAAACGUAAGAGUAUCACUGUAAGAAAGUAAUUGCGGAAACAUAAAUGCUGAGAGUAAAUGAAUGAAGUAACAGGAUGAUCAAGAGAGCGUGUACAAGAGAUUAUUUGGCCAUGGUGUUGGUGGAUUGAAUUCCACUCCUGGUCCAUGUUGAAGAAUAUAUAUCCAUAAAGGAUUAAGCUCCCGGUUAGCAACUUGGUAAAGACUCUUGAUCCCACCACACACAUAAGGUGGGUUUCAAGCUUGUGGCGCAAAGAUGGACAUCGCACUGAUCACUCGCUAUCUUGUGUUAAUUGCAUUGGAUCUUCACCAUUAGCACUUGGGUGGCUUGGAUGUCUUUGAAAGUCUACGUUGAAGUUAAUUUUUUGCGCACCACACAUGGGAAACACUCCAACGUGUACACCCUUCCGUCGUAUCAUCUGGCUUGAACAAAAAUCACUAGGUCAUAGGCUCUUUUGUGUACGAAAAUCACCGGGCACAAACACAACGUGAACAAAGAUAUGAAACUUGUCCAAUUCGACCAUCUCUUCACUCCGGCUCUGGUGGCUUUUCUCACUUGCAUCCAUAUGAGACCUAAUCUUUUACAAAUAUAAUUAUUACUCCAUCUUGUUAUUGAUAACCAAAAUCUCGUAAACCAUCUUGUUAUUGAUAACCAAAAUCACAUAUGCCCUGAUUAAGCCCAUGUUUCUUUUUCUUAAAAAAAAAAGAGGUCCAUGUUUCCUACAAACGGUCACAAAGAUGAUUCAUUAGUUGCACCUAAAUUAGUGUUAACUUGUAGAUAAAAGAAAGUUGUUUGUAACGAGGAUUACAUGCCAUCUAUAAGCACUGGUAAGUAUUCUUUUCUCGAGCUCAGAUAUUCACACUAGCUAAAUGCAUCCUUUUAUUAUAAAUUUGGUAGUUCCAUAUACCAUUAAUCAAUGAUGCUCGUGCAGUGACAGAUUAACAAUCAUAGCAUUUUGGACGCGCAUCACAUCAUAUUGUCUUGUCAUGUCACACUAACCCGUUUCUGUUGCAUGAUGCGUGAUCCCAUGACCCAUGCACCUCACCAGGGGCCCAGAAAGAAAGGACGUGUCCAGAAGCAUACACCCUACACAUCUAAUCCCUUUGAACAUGUUUUCCCUCCACUACUACUCCAUUUAUUUCGUGUACUGUAUGCAAAUCGAUGGUUGCAAUGAUACUGUUUCCUGUUCCUUUCAGUAUACAAAUAAAAUUUCUUCCACUUUUUUUUUCGUAAUUCUUUCGCUGAAUUAUUACUCCGAACUUCUAGAGCAUAAACCCAAUAUUUGUUUUCCGUCUAAUUCAGAAAACCAAUGUCCU